This 751-nucleotide ribosomal RNA is filed under the name uncultured bacterium. RNAcentral's name for it is "bacterial SSU rRNA". It matches the Rfam family "Bacterial small subunit ribosomal RNA", at positions 33 to 773 of the family's 1533-position model. The record is from RNAcentral.
ACGCUGGCGGCAGGCCUAACACAUGCAAGUCGAGCGGUAGCACAGGAGAGCUUGCUCUCUGGGUGACGAGCGGCGGACGGGUGAGUAAUGUCUGGGAAACUGCCUGAUGGAGGGGGAUAACUACUGGAAACGGUAGCUAAUACCGCAUGACCUCGCAAGAGCAAAGUGGGGGACCUUCGGGCCUCACGCCAUCGGAUGUGCCCAGAUGGGAUUAGCUAGUAGGUGGGGUAAUGGCUCACCUAGGCGACGAUCCCUAGCUGGUCUGAGAGGAUGACCAGCCACACUGGAACUGAGACACGGUCCAGACUCCUACGGGAGGCAGCAGUGGGGAAUAUUGCACAAUGGGCGCAAGCCUGAUGCAGCCAUGCCGCGUGUGUGAAGAAGGCCUUAGGGUUGUAAAGCACUUUCAGCGAGGAGGAAGGCGUUGCAGUUAAUAGCUGCAGCGAUUGACGUUACUCGCAGAAGAAGCACCGGCUAACUCCGUGCCAGCAGCCGCGGUAAUACGGAGGGUGCAAGCGUUAAUCGGAAUUACUGGGCGUAAAGCGCACGCAGGCGGUUUGUUAAGUCAGAUGUGAAAUCCCCGAGCUUAACUUGGGAACUGCAUUUGAAACUGGCAAGCUAGAGUCUUGUAGAGGGGGGUAGAAUUCCAGGUGUAGCGGUGAAAUGCGUAGAGAUCCGGAGGAAUACCGGUGGCGAAGGCGGCCCCCUGGACAAAGACUGACGCUCAGGUGCGAAAGCGUGGGGAGCAAAC